AUACCUGCAGCUCAAGUGGUGGCCGCUAUUAUUGGGCCUAAAACGUCCGUAGCCGGUUUAGUAAAUGCUUGGGUAAAUUGUGUAGCUUAACUAUACGAAUACCGGGUAGACUGCUAAACUUGGGACCGGGAGAGGCUAGAGGUACUCCUAGGGUAGAGGUGAAAUUCUGUAAUCCUAGGGGGACCACCAGUGGCGAAGGCGUCUAGCUAGAACGGGUCUGACGGUGAGGGACGAAGCCCUGGGGCGCAAACCGGAUUAGAUACCCGAGUAGUCC
RNAcentral lists this ribosomal RNA (274 nucleotides) under uncultured bacterium. RNAcentral's name for it is "partial 16S ribosomal RNA". It matches the Rfam family "Archaeal small subunit ribosomal RNA", at positions 473 to 747 of the family's 1478-position model. The record is from RNAcentral.